RNAcentral lists this unclassified non-coding RNA (732 nucleotides) under Penaeus japonicus. RNAcentral describes it as "uncharacterized LOC122260881, transcript variant X2". Lineage: Eukaryota; Metazoa; Arthropoda; Malacostraca; Decapoda; Penaeidae. The record is from RNAcentral.
UGGUUUUCAGAAAUCGCUUCAGAUGACAACAGGACAUCAUCUCACUCGCAUGCAGCUCCUCAGCUCUCGACUCUGUAAUAAGCCCAGUGUAGCAAGUGCUCUAUAAGUCGAUAAUAGGUCCAAGACCCCAGUCUUGGCCCUACCUGCAGUUUAUCAAAAAAUUUGUGGUGGCUCGCACAAAGAUCAUAAUAUAGAGAGACCCGUCUAGAAUAUCAUUCAGCUUAAAAACCAGAAUGACAGAACAAAUGAUUGACAGCAUCCUUGGCGUCAGAAGCCAGGAGGAAACACAAAAGAUCUUCUUUAGAUUGUUAGAACCCGAAGUACCUGAAGAUUUAUUCUUACGUUUAAUCCCUACUUUUACAAACCCCCAACAGAAGUUGAACCUCAUCCCUACAUUGAUAUAAAAGAUAAGCUAAAACAGAAAAAAGAGUAAAUAUGUCAUACAGCUGGGACCAGCAACAGCAGUAUGGCUGGGGAGACCAAUCAAGCUUCUCAUAUGACAUGGGAUCUCCAGACUUUGGACAGGAGCAACAGUUCCAAAGCUUUGAUUUCUUUAAUGAGAAUGCCAUUAAUCCUUUUAGUUUUAGGAGAGGAACCGUUGGAAGUGUGGUAUUAGUUGGUUUGAUCAGGAGUGUGUUCGUCCCAAGAAACGUCUUACAGUGGACUCUUGAAAGGGGAGUGAGUACGGGACUUUUUGCUACAAUUUUUUUUUAAUCGGAAUAGCUCGUAAAU